CGUAUCACUUAAAGCGAUUCAGCGGGUUACGAUUGACGGAGCGAAGCGACGUCAAAGCGUAUACAAAGUCGAGUCGGUUUAAGGAUACGUUCGUUGGGUAGGGGAGCGUUCUGUAAGCCUGUGAAGGUGUGUCGUGAGGCAUGCUGGAGGUAUCAGAAGUGCGAAUGCUGACAUAAGUAACGAUAAAGCGGGUGAAAAGCCCGCUCGCCGGAAGACCAAGGGUUCCUGUCCAACGUUAAUCGGGGCAGGGUGAGUCGACCCCUAAGGCGAGGCCGAAAGGCGUAGUCGAUGGGAAACGGGUUAAUAUUCCCGUACUUGGUGUUACUGCGAAGGGGGGACGGAGAAGGCUAUGUUGGCCGGGCGACGGUUGUCCCGGUUUAAGCGUGUAGGUGUGUGUUCCAGGUAAAUCCGGUUCACUUUAACACUGAGGCGUGACGACGAGGCACUACGGUGCUGAAGCAACAAAUGCCCUGCUUCCAGGAAAAGCCUCUAAGCAUCAGGUAACAUCAAAUCGUACCCCAAACCGACACAGGUGGUCAGGUAGAGAAUACCAAGGCGCUUGAGAGAACUCGGGUGAAGGAACUAGGCAAAAUGGUGCCGUAACUUCGGGAGAAGGCACGCUGACACGUAGGUGAAGUGAUUUACUCAUGGAGCUGAAGUCAGUCGAAGAUACCAGCUGGCUGCAACUGUUUAUUAAAAACACAGCACUGUGCAAACACGAAAGUGGACGUAUACGGUGUGACGCCUGCCCGGUGCCGGAAGGUUAAUUGAUGGGGUCAGCGCAAGCGAAGCUCCUGAUCGAAGCCCCGGUAAACGGCGGCCGUAACUAUAACGGUCCUAAGGUAGCGAAAUUCCUUGUCGGGUAAGUUCCGACCUGCACGAAUGGCGUAAUGAUGGCCAGGCUGUCUCCACCCGAGACUCAGUGAAAUUGAACUCGCUGUGAAGAUGCAGUGUACCCGCGGCAAGACGGAAAGACCCCGUGAACCUUUACUAUAGCUUGACACUGAACAUUGAGCCUUGAUGUGUAGGAUAGGUGGGAGGCUUUGAAGUGUGGACGCCAGUCUGCAUGGAGCCGACCUUGAAAUACCACCCUUUAAUGUUUGAUGUUCUAACGUGGACCCGUAAUCCGGGUUGCGGACAGUGUCUGGUGGGUAGUUUGACUGGGGCGGUCUCCUCCUAAAGAGUAACGGAGGAGCACGAAGGUUGGCUAAUCCUGGUCGGACAUCAGGAGGUUAGUGCAAUGGCAUAAGCCAGCUUGACUGCGAGCGUGACGGCGCGAGCAGGUGCGAAAGCAGGUCAUAGUGAUCCGGUGGUUCUGAAUGGAAGGGCCAUCGCUCAACGGAUAAAAGGUACUCCGGGGAUAACAGGCUGAUACCGCCCAAGAGUUCAUAUCGACGGCGGUGUUUGGCACCUCGAUGUCGGCUCAUCACAUCCUGGGGCUGAAGUAGGUCCCAAGGGUAUGGCUGUUCGCCAUUUAAAGUGGUACGCGAGCUGGGUUUAGAACGUCGUGAGACAGUUCGGUCCCUAUCUGCCGUGGGCGCUGGAGAACUGAGGGGGGCUGCUCCUAGUACGAGAGGACCGGAGUGGACGCAUCACUGGUGUUCGGGUUGUCAUGCCAAUGGCACUGCCCGGUAGCUAAAUGCGGAAGAGAUAAGUGCUGAAAGCAUCUAAGCACGAAACUUGCCCCGAGA
Molecule: ribosomal RNA, 1691 nt
Filed under: Salmonella enterica subsp. enterica serovar Virchow
Lineage: Bacteria; Pseudomonadati; Pseudomonadota; Gammaproteobacteria; Enterobacterales; Enterobacteriaceae
Description: partial 23S ribosomal RNA
Rfam family: Bacterial large subunit ribosomal RNA
Source: RNAcentral